UUCUUAUCCAGAGAGGUGAAGGGACUGGCCCGAUGAAACCUCAGCAACCAUAUUUUGUAUGGUGCUAAUUCCAGCAAAGCAUAGCUUUGGAAGAUAAGAA
Molecule: non-coding RNA, 100 nt
Filed under: Jeotgalibacillus soli
Lineage: Bacteria; Bacillati; Bacillota; Bacilli; Caryophanales; Caryophanaceae
Description: SAM-I sequence
Rfam family: SAM riboswitch aptamer (S box leader)
About the family: The SAM riboswitch is found upstream of a number of genes which code for proteins involved in methionine or cysteine biosynthesis in Gram-positive bacteria.
Source: Rfam by way of RNAcentral